UAGUAUAUCGUCCAACGCCACGUAAGGUUUAAUUUCCGGUUUGUUUUUCUUUUUGAGCUGGGUGUAAAAUAACCACUUAAGCUUUUUUACAUAUCUUUUGUGAAGGAUAGAUUGAAUGCGAUUAAUAAACGAAGCAAAAACUGGAAAAGGAUACUUUUAGGCUUUCAAUAUUCAGGUCCUGUAUGCCCUUGUCGGUGAGAUACGAUUUAAACCGGAAAAGUUCCCUUCUAGAAUCCGAUAUAGCCGCUGCUAAACAUCGCUUCUUAGUAAUUACUAAUAAAUUCUUCGACCUUACCGGUAAUGUAAGUCUAUGUAUUGAUGACGGAAAAACUCUGUUGCAUCGACAUUGCUUCAAGAACAAAAAACGUUCUUCCAAGGUUACCAACUUCCUAAUGUCUUUCUUUCCGAUAAAGGCUGGCUCAGCCUGCAUUACGAACUCAUAAAAUACAACACUAUACACUGUCAGGAGUUAA
Molecule: long non-coding RNA, 473 nt
Filed under: Androctonus crassicauda
Lineage: Eukaryota; Metazoa; Arthropoda; Arachnida; Scorpiones; Buthidae
Source: RNAcentral